UACGAAGGGUGCAAGCGUUAAUCGGAAUUACUGGGCGUAAAGGGUGCGUAGGCGGUUAUUUAAGUCUGCCGUGAAAUCCCCGGGCUCAACCUGGGAAUGGCGGUGGAUACUGGAUAGCUAGAGUGUGUCAGAGGAUGGUGGAAUUCCCGGUGUAGCGGUGAAAUGCGUAGAGAUCGGGAGGAACAUCAGUGGCGAAGGCGGCCAUCUGGGACAACACUGACGCUGAGACGCGAAAGCUAGGGGAGCAAACGGG
Molecule: ribosomal RNA, 253 nt
Filed under: uncultured bacterium
Lineage: Bacteria
Description: partial 16S ribosomal RNA
Rfam family: Bacterial small subunit ribosomal RNA
Source: RNAcentral